GCCGGCGUAGCCCAACGGCAGAGGCCCGAUCUUUAGGUGGUCGUCAGUGCGGGUUCGAAUCCCGCCGCCGGCA
RNAcentral lists this transfer RNA (73 nucleotides) under Pseudonocardia kunmingensis. RNAcentral describes it as "tRNA-Leu". It matches the Rfam family "tRNA". From Rfam's summary of the family: Transfer RNA (tRNA) molecules are approximately 80 nucleotides in length. The record is from RNAcentral. Lineage: Bacteria; Bacillati; Actinomycetota; Actinomycetes; Pseudonocardiales; Pseudonocardiaceae.